GAUGAACGCUGGCGGCGUGCUUAACACAUGCAAGUCGAACGGAAAGGCCCAAGCUUGCUUGGGUACUCGAGUGGCGAACGGGUAAGUAACACGUGGGUGAUCUGCCCUGCACUUCGGGAUAAGCCUGGGAAACUGGGUCUAAUACCGGAUAGGACCACGUCUUGGAUGUUGUGGUGGAAAGUUUUUUCGGUGUGGGAUGAGCUCGCGGCCUAUCAGCUUGUUGGUGGGGUAAUGGCCUACCAAGGCGUCGACGGGUAGCCGGCCUGAGAGGGUGUACGGCCACAUUGGGACUGAGAUACGGGCCAGACUCCUACGGGAGGCAGCAGUGGGGAAUAUUGCACAAUGGGCGCAAGCCUGAUGCAGCGACGCCGCGUGGGGGAUGACGGCCUUCGGGUUGUAAACUCCUUUCGCUAGGGAAGAAGCGUUUUUGUGACGGUACCUGGAGAAGAAGCACCGGCUAACUACGUG
Molecule: ribosomal RNA, 468 nt
Filed under: uncultured bacterium
Lineage: Bacteria
Description: partial 16S ribosomal RNA
Rfam family: Bacterial small subunit ribosomal RNA
Source: RNAcentral